This 253-nucleotide ribosomal RNA is filed under the name uncultured bacterium. RNAcentral's name for it is "partial 16S ribosomal RNA". It matches the Rfam family "Bacterial small subunit ribosomal RNA", at positions 524 to 776 of the family's 1533-position model. The record is from RNAcentral.
GACGUAGGGCGCGAGCGUUGUCCGGAUUUAUUGGGCGUAAAGAGCUCGUAGGCGGCUUGUCGCGUCGUCCGUGAAAACCUGCAGCUCAACUGCAGGCUUGCGGUCGAUACGGGCAGGCUAGAGUUCGGUAGGGGAGACUGGAAUUCCCGGUGUAGAGGUGAAAUUCGUAGAUAUCGGGAGGAACACCGGUGGCGAAGGCGGCGACCUGGGUCGACACUGACGCUGAGGCGCGAAAGCGUGGGGAGCAAACAGG